Molecule: ribosomal RNA, 475 nt
Filed under: uncultured bacterium
Lineage: Bacteria
Description: bacterial SSU rRNA
Rfam family: Bacterial small subunit ribosomal RNA
Source: RNAcentral
CGCCUUAUACUCCUACGGGAGGCAGCAGUGGGGAAUUUUGGACAAUGGGGGCAACCCUGAUGCAGCGACGCCGCGUGAGGGAUGAAGGCCUUCGGGUUGUAAACCUCUUUCAGUAGGGAAGAAGUCGGCCUUCGGGUUGGUGACGGUACCUGCAGAAGAAGCGCCGGCUAACUACGUGCCAGCAGCCGCGGUAAUACGUAGGGCGCAAGCGUUAUCCGGAAUUAUUGGGCGUAAAGAGCUCGUAGGCGGUUUGUCGCGUCUGCCGUGAAAGUCCGGGGCUUAACCCCGGAUCUGCGGUGGGUACGGGCAGACUAGAGUGCAGUAGGGGAGACUAGAAUUCCUGGUGUAGCGGUGAAAUGCGCAGAUAUCAGGAGGAACACCGAUGGCGGAGGCAGGUCUCUGGGCUGUAACUGACGCUGAGGAGCGAAAGCAUGGGGAGCGAACAGGAUUAGAAACCCGUGUAGUCCACGUACCA